Molecule: ribosomal RNA, 253 nt
Filed under: uncultured bacterium
Lineage: Bacteria
Description: partial 16S ribosomal RNA
Rfam family: Bacterial small subunit ribosomal RNA
Source: RNAcentral
UACGAAGGGGGCUAGCGUUGCUCGGAAUCACUGGGCGCAAAGCGCACGUAGGCGGAUUGUUAAGUCAGGGGUGAAAUCCUGGAGCUCAACUCCAGAACUGCCUUUGAUACUGGCGAUCUUGAGUCCGGGAGAGGUGAGUGGAACUGCGAGUGUAGAGGUGAAAUUCGUAGAUAUUCGCAAGAACACCAGUGGCGAAGGCGGCUCACUGGCCCGGUACUGACGCUGAGGUGCGAAAGCGUGGGGAGCAAACAGG